Pangasius djambal is the source of this 72-nucleotide non-coding RNA. Lineage: Eukaryota; Metazoa; Chordata; Actinopteri; Siluriformes; Pangasiidae. The record is from the annotation of a GenBank genome assembly.
UCCCUUGAGGACUAGUGGUUAGGCCACAGCGAACUCUCUGCUGCAGCCUGGGUUCGAUUCCCUGCCAGGGAA